UUCUCUCUAAACAGAUGUGGUGAGAUGGAGAGGGCUGGAGCAGAUGUGCCGAGAUGGACAGAUGUGGCGAGAUGGACAGAUAUGGUGAGAUGGGACAGAUGUGGUGAGAUGGAGAGGGCUGGGGCAGAUGUGGUGAGGUGGGCAGAUGUGGCGAGAUGGAGAGGGCUGGGACAGAUGUGGUGACAUGGACAGAUAUGGCGAGAUGGAGAGGGCUGGGGCAGAUGUGGCGAGAUGGGCAGAUGUGGCGAGAUGGAGAAGGCUGGGCAGAUGUGGUGAGAUGGACAGAUGUGGCAAGAUGGAGAGGGCUGGGGCAGAUGUGGCAAGGUGGGCAGAUGUGGUGAGGUGGAGAGGGCUGGGGCAGAUGUGGCGAGAUGGGCAGAUGUGGUGAGAUGGACAGAUGUGGCAAGAUGGAGAGGGCUGGGGCAGAUGUGGCGAGAUGGACAGAUGUGGCGAGAUGGAGAGGGCUGGGGCAGAUGUGGCGAGGUGGGCAGAUGUGGCAAGAUGGAGAGGCCUGGGGUAUGUCUAGUAAGUGGCACAACAUCAGCUCCAUAUACCAAAUGGUACAUCGUGAGACAUGGCAACCUAGGGUAGCGAGAACCACCUCCUCCUC
Molecule: long non-coding RNA, 610 nt
Organism: Panthera uncia (snow leopard)
Lineage: Eukaryota; Metazoa; Chordata; Mammalia; Carnivora; Felidae
Exons: 3
Source: RefSeq, a predicted model, not a curated record